RNAcentral lists this ribosomal RNA (473 nucleotides) under uncultured Magnetococcus sp. RNAcentral describes it as "bacterial SSU rRNA". It matches the Rfam family "Bacterial small subunit ribosomal RNA", at positions 79 to 587 of the family's 1533-position model. The record is from RNAcentral. Lineage: Bacteria; Pseudomonadati; Pseudomonadota; Magnetococcia; Magnetococcales; Magnetococcaceae.
UUCGGGAUGCCGGCGAGUGGCGAACGGGUGAGUAACGCGUGGAUACCUGUCCUAUGGUGGGGAAUAACGUUUAGAAAUGAACGCUAAUACCGCAUAAGCCCUACGGGGGAAAGAUUUAUCGCCAUAGGAGGGGUCUGCGUCGGAUUAGCUUGUUGGUGGGGUAACGGCCUACCAAGGCGACGAUCCGUAGCUGGUCUGAGAGGAUGAUCAGCCACACUGGGACUGAGACACGGCCCAGACUCCUACGGGAGGCAGCAGUGGGGAAUAUUGCGCAAUGGGGGAAACCCUGACGCAGCGACGCCGCGUGGGUGAAGAAGGCCUUAGGGUUGUAAAGCCCUUUCAGUGGGAAAGAUGAUGACGGUACCCACAGAAGAAGCCCCGGCUAACUCCGUGCCAGCAGCCGCGGUAAUACGGAGGGGGCGAGCGUUGUUCGGAAUUAUUGGGCGUAAAGCGCGCGUAGGCGGUUUAUCAAG